Molecule: ribosomal RNA, 255 nt
Filed under: Streptomyces evansiae
Lineage: Bacteria; Bacillati; Actinomycetota; Actinomycetes; Kitasatosporales; Streptomycetaceae
Description: Streptomyces sp. DSM 41979 partial 23S ribosomal RNA
Rfam family: Bacterial large subunit ribosomal RNA
Source: RNAcentral
AGUUUCAUGGCGGCCCGUACCCUAAACCGACUCAGGUGGUCUGGUAGAGAAUACCGAGGCGUUCGGGUGAACUAUGGUUAAGGAACUCGGCAAAAUGCCCCCGUAACUUCGGGAGAAGGGGGGCCACACCUGGUGAUCACUUUUGCAGUGUGAGCUGGGGGUGGCCGCAGAGACCAGCGAGAAGCGACUGUUUACUAAAAACACAGGUCCGUGCGAAGCCGUAAGGCGAUGUAUACGGACUGACGCCUGCCCGGU